RNAcentral lists this ribosomal RNA (253 nucleotides) under uncultured bacterium. RNAcentral's name for it is "partial 16S ribosomal RNA". It matches the Rfam family "Bacterial small subunit ribosomal RNA", at positions 524 to 776 of the family's 1533-position model. The record is from RNAcentral.
UACGUAGGCAGCGAGCGUUGUUCGGAGUUACUGGGCGUAAAGGGUGUGUAGGCGGUUCUUUAAGUUUGGUGUGAAAUCUCCCGGCUCAACCGGGAGGGUGCGCCGAAAACUGGGGGACUAGAGUGCGGGAUGGGAGAGUAGAAUUCCUGGUGUAGCGGUGAAAUGCGUAGAUAUUGGGAGGAACACCAGUGGCGAAGGCGGCUCACUGGACCGGAACUGACGCUGAGGCGCGAAAGCGUGGGGAGCAAACGGG